Molecule: ribosomal RNA, 850 nt
Filed under: uncultured bacterium
Lineage: Bacteria
Description: bacterial SSU rRNA
Rfam family: Bacterial small subunit ribosomal RNA
Source: RNAcentral
GAUGAACGCUGGCGGCGUGCCUAACACAUGCAAGUCGAGCGGACCAAUGCCCAUUUCAGCUUUGCUGAUUUGAGCAACGGUUAGCGGCGGACGGGUGAGUAACGCGUGGGCAACCUGCCCUGUGCAGGGGGAUAACACAGCGAAAGCUGUGCUAAUACCCCAUAAGACUACGCUAUCGCAUGAUAGAGUAGUCAAAGCUUUAGCGGCACAGGAUGGGCCCGCGUCUGAUUAGCUAGUUGGUGGGGUAACGGCCUACCAAGGCGACGAUCAGUAGCCGACCUGAGAGGGUGAUCGGCCACACUGGAACUGAGACACGGUCCAGACUCCUACGGGAGGCAGCAGUGGGGAAUAUUGCACAAUGGGGGAAACCCUGAUGCAGCAACGCCGCGUGAGCGAAGAAGGCCUUCGGGUCGUAAAGCUCUGUCCUAAGGGAAGAAGCAUGACGGUACCUUAGGAGGAAGCCCCGGCUAACUACGUGCCAGCAGCCGCGGUAAUACGUAGGGGGCGAGCGUUAUCCGGAAUCACUGGGCGUAAAGGGUGCGUAGGCGGCCGAGUAAGCCAGGGGUGAAAGGCUACGGCUUAACCGUAGUAAGCCUUUGGAACUACUUGGCUUGAGUGCAGGAGAGGAGAGUGGAAUUCCUAGUGUAGCGGUGAAAUGCGUAGAUAUUAGGAGGAACACCAGUGGCGAAGGCGACUCUCUGGACUGUAACUGACGCUGAGGCACGAAAGCGUGGGGAGCAAACAGGAUUAGAUACCCUGGUAGUCCACGCCGUAAACGAUGAGUGCUAGGUGUCGGGGGUUCACACCCUCGGUGCCGGAGUUAACGCAAUAAGCACUCCGCCUGGGGAGU